AUGCAGAAUGAAUUGCAAAACCCAUUAGCAACUUUGAAAGAUGCCUACUAUGAUGUAACCUUAAAGCCACUGGAUGAAGUUUGGCAGGAGAAGACAGAAGAGUACAUGAAAAAAGUCCAGGCAUUUUUGCCCAGGAUUAUAAAAGAUGUUUGGCUAAUGGAGCCAAUCCAGAUGACAUUAAGGACUGUUAAAAUAGGCUUGGAUAUGGUUGGUAUAAAUAAUUUAUUAAUUUUUAAUAUUUUGAAGGAAAAGGCUUACAAAUUUAAGUCUUAGCUUUGAACUGUGGAUACACAAAAAUACUUAAUAUUUUUAUUUAUGGAAAUUCUGUGGUUAUCUUUCUACAUAAGAAGCUUAUGCACAGCUAGCGUACUGUUCCUGAAAUAUCUAACUUGCUUUGACAGUAGUGCUUCAGUAGGACAACAGGAGAAGGAUUUGCUUUACUGGUUUGGUUCAAAUCAACAGCAGUGAACUGCUGCCAUCCAUGUAGAUUUUGCAUUUUCUGUACAGAGAGGAGGGACUGCGAUUCCAAUGAACAGUGUACAAACAGUUUUGGACUCCUGUAGUUGAAAUGAUAAAGGACAUAUCAUGACACAAAUUUAUAUUAAGAAAGAUAUCAAUCCCUUUAUAAGCCCCUGUAGAACAUUAACUCAGAGAAGUAUUGGUGUACAAUAAGUAAUGUUCUUUUAGGAAAGAUAUAUAUUUCUAUCCACUUUUUUUUUUCUGGAACAACUAAAGUCUGUCUUCUGGAUACUAACCACUAAAUGACAAGGUGCUGUCAGGCGAGUGAUAAAUGCAAGAGAGGUUAAAGUGCAAUUUCUCUGAUUGUUGCUUUAAAACUCAUUAUCAAGUAUUGACCCCACACCAAAGCUGUACAGAAGAGUUUUGUAAUCUCCUUUUCUGGCUCUCCAGUAGACCACACAGCAGAUGCUCAGGUGGGCAGAGGCCAUGGUUUCUAGAGCUGUGAGCAAGAUCUGGAAGCCCUUACACAACCUUUACAGUUUUUCAGCCAGGUAAUUGUUUUUCUUUGGAGGACUUCUGCUGCUGGGUACCAUUCUAAAUGGAUAUAUGUGUUAAUCUUAUAUGUUAAUCUUCAUAUUAGCUUAUAUGCUUCAGGCUGAAGAUAGCAACCUGCCCAUUCUCUUCUGUGGGCACAUCAUAUCAUGAUGUUUAUGUUUGUUGUCUACUAGGAUAGCCUGCAUUUCAAAAG
RNAcentral lists this long non-coding RNA (1207 nucleotides) under Anas platyrhynchos (mallard). RNAcentral describes it as "lncRNA (ENSAPLG00020011284.1)". The record is from RNAcentral. Lineage: Eukaryota; Metazoa; Chordata; Aves; Anseriformes; Anatidae.